RNAcentral lists this small RNA (1060 nucleotides) under Pan troglodytes (chimpanzee). Its description in RNAcentral is "processed transcript". The record is from RNAcentral. Lineage: Eukaryota; Metazoa; Chordata; Mammalia; Primates; Hominidae.
AGCAGAUGUGUUCUGGCUGAAUGCUGAGUAACUAAAUGUGACCUGUACUCAUGGAAAGAGUAGCAUAAUUAGCUUCAGAUGACCACUACUCCUGUGCUCUCUAGAUUUGCCAGCCCUCCAGAUCUCUAUAUUGAAAGAUUUAAUAUAGCUCUUGGACAAUAUAUGGGAGCAUUGCAGAGCAUUGUGCCUCUUUUCAUAUAUAUGAAUAAGUUUUACAUCGAAACCAAGCUUAACAGAGACUUAAAAGAUGACCUUAUAAAGCUGUUUACGGAACAUGUUGCAGAAAAGCACAUUUACAGCCUAAUGCCUUUACUUUUAGAAGCCCAGUCAACACCAUUUCAGGUCACACCUUCAACUAUGGCAAAUAUUGUGAAAGGCCUGUAUACCCUCAGACCAGAGUGGGUUCAGAUGGCUCCAACUCUAUUUUCUAAAUUUAUUCCAAACAUUCUCCCUCCGGCGGUGGAAUCUGAACUUUCUGAAUAUGCUGCUCAAGAUCAGAAAUUUCAAAGAGAACUUAUACAGAAUGGUUUUACAAGGGGUGACCAGUCCCGGAAGAGAGCUGGGGAUGAGUUGGCUUAUAAUAGCUCGUCAGCAUGUGCAAGUUCCAGGGGGUACAGAUAGUGAAUGUAUUGAAUAUGCUUUCCUUCCUGAAAAGAGGACACACUGGAGCUGCAGAGACUGUAUUCAGAGCACAGUGGGGGCUGCACACACUCAGGAGCUCUGUCACAAAGCUGUUCAUGGAAGAGGAUGUUGGACUUCUUACUUGCUUUCACUUGAUAGGACCGCUGGGCAAGGAACUGAGGGUGGCAUCCAGCCAACAGCUACCAAGGAACUGAGGCCUUCAAUCUAAUAGCCCGAGGGGCUAUAAAUCCUGCUGACAGUCUGAGUGAACUUGGAAUGGAUGUAGGUCCAGUUGAAUCUUGAGAUGAUUGUGACCCUGGCUGACACCUUGAUCACAGCCUAGCAGCAAACCUUGAAACAGAGAAUUUAGCUAAGCUGUGCCCAGAUUCCUGACCCAGGGAAACUCUGAAAUAAUUGUGUGGUGUUUUAAGCCACUAAA